CGAAGCCAGUAUUUAUUUACAGUUCACAGAUUACAGUCUAGUUCCCAGCUUGGGGAAAAUCGUCUAGUAUACCACAAAGAUUGUGGACUCUACGUGGCCACUUAAUCCCACUCACUAAAGUAUUGACAUAAAAUCAAAAUAAAAUAUGCAUAGUUUUACAAAAUCAGCUCCUUUUCUUUAACUUUGCUAAAGUCAUGCUUUCCACCAUCUUUUUCUCCCCACCAACUCCACAACCACCAACUCCCCCACCAUACUAGUGCAGCAACAACUCUUCCUUAUCUUAGUCUCAACUUCAGCCAAGCAACGCAAGACUCACUAUCACUUUUCACCAAGAAUCUCCCAAAGAGCAGGGGAGCCUCCAUUUCAACCUGCCAAUGUUUUCAAGUUUCAAUUCAUUCAAUGCACUACAACCAAAAAGUGAGAGAAAUCACUCAUUCACUCUCUGCCAGAAACAUUAAGGUAAAAAAAUUAGUAUUGAUUCAUCAUCUCCUUCCAAUUACAACUUACAGUUAUUGAAAGAAACAAGUUUGAUCUUUCAGUUCAGUCAUUCCAGUUCUUUUAACUCAACAUCACAGCAGCCAACCAAGCCCAAAACAUUAGCAAGGUCAAGCGCGAGAGUAAGAACUACACAAGGAGUUAGAGUACCUUAGCAAAACUUUGCUAUCAGGUGGGCAAUUCCUUACGCGUAAAUAAAAUGCUAUGCAAAUGUUAUGCUUUAAAAUGCAAAUUGGAUCUUCAAGUAUGGUAUGCUUUAUUACGCUUAAAUGAGUUAAGCUUUAUUAUGCUGCACGUUAAAUGAUUUACGCUAUGCUGUUUAUACUAUUUACGCCCUAUGUAAUUUACGCUUGAUUACACUUAUUUACGCUUGAAUGCUUUACGCUGAUAAGUUUAUGCUUAUGUUUGAUGCUUGCGUCUGUUGGGGGAGGCCUCCCUCAACAGUACGAUGCCGUGUCCGUUGAGGAGGGCCUUCCUCACGGCGCGAUGCCCGUGUCCGCUGAGAGAGGCCUCUCUCGCGGCGCGAUGCCAGUAUGCCAGUAUGCCAGUGUUACAGCGUCUAUUGGGGGAGGCCUCCCUCAAUAGUACGAUGCCGUGACCGCUGAGGGAGGCCCCCUCUCACGGCGCGAUGCCCGUGUUCGUUGGGGAAGGCCUUCUCCACGACACGAUGCGUGUUUAUGAUUGUUAAUGAUGAAGAAUGCCCUUAUGCUAUUUAUGAAUUUGGAAAUGUUUAAUGAGCAAAGGAUAUGAAAGAAACUCAUGCCUCUUAUGCGAUAUUGUGAAAUUGUUAAUGAUGUUAUGUUAUAUGCUUGGCAACUGCCCACUAAGUACUCUUGUACUUAGCCCUUCGAUGUUUAUGUUUGUGCAGGUUGAGCUGUGAUGGGCGAUGAAGUGUUGUUGCUGAGUGGAGUUUUUGUCGAACUUAAAGUAGGCUCAGAAAGGGUACAUGUCUUCAUACAUGUAUUUCAGUUAUGCAUUCCGCUGUAAACACUGAUUAUUUCAGUUACGCCUUCCGUUGCAAACUCUGAUAAUAUUUUAGCCAAGCCCCUAACGAUGCCUUUUUCCUUUUAAGGAAUAUAACGCGUAUACAAGUUCUUUGAGUACCCUUUUUAUGCGAACUAUGCCUUUUUCCUUUUUAAGGAAUAUUUCACGCGUAUUCAA
Long non-coding RNA from Salvia miltiorrhiza (redroot sage), 1656 nucleotides. RefSeq lists it as uncharacterized. NCBI's taxonomy places the organism in Eukaryota, Viridiplantae, Streptophyta, Magnoliopsida, Lamiales, Lamiaceae. The record is from RefSeq and is a predicted model, not a curated record. The transcript is spliced from 2 exons.